This is a long non-coding RNA of Lynx canadensis (Canada lynx), 2241 nucleotides long. NCBI's taxonomy places the organism in Eukaryota, Metazoa, Chordata, Mammalia, Carnivora, Felidae. The record is from Ensembl.
AUGAAAAAAGAGGACAAAAGCCUCAAUCCAGUAUCAAAAAUGCAACAAAACCUUUUUUUUUUUCCUUUUUACAAUAAAUCACUUUCUCAUCUACACACAUUCUUGAGCACUUUUUUUUUGUGGCUUUUGAUUUGGCUUCCUGGCAGCAUGGACAGAAGAGAACACACACAUGGGGACUUUAUCAGUACCUCAGUUUUUUGUUUUAAAAUUUUAAAAGUAAAGAAUGAUUUCUAAAAAUAAGAAAUAUAGUCCAUAAUUUGGGCAUGACCUAAGCAAAAAUUUUUAAUCUUUUUUCCAUAGUUAAAAAGUUAGAAUUUUCUGGCAAUUUAUUUCAUGGAGAUUUAUCAAAUGUACAUCAUUUCUCAAUGCAUUCCCAGUGCACAGAUAUUAGGGGACAGUCCACAGUCGAUGGUCCACCUCAGGGGUGUUUAGGGAAAUUGUGCUGACUGUUAAGAGCUGCUGAUUUGUUGUUCAACGAAAGCCCAGCUGACACAGGCAUCAUUUUAUCACACUGAUUCACAUUUUGUUUGUAAUCUACUUUCACCUCCCCAUUUCUACACUGGUAAAAAAGUAAUACCCCCUUUCUUCUUCCACUAUCAUCAUGACUGAGGGGUUGGUCUGAAACUGUGAACAGUCUGUCAAACAGGGGUGUUGAAGGUGUUAUCUGCUCUGACCUGGCUUAUAGGUAACCCAAAAUCACCUGGUGAGGUGGGGGUGGGGGGUGGGGGUGCAUGCACAGUGCUUCAUCAUUGGUUUGGAUGGUGAAAGCUCUGUUACAAUGGACCAAAGUGUGUGAGUCAACACAUAGAUUUUAGAUUUUGGCAUUUCAACCUGUGGAGAAUUUCCAUCUGAAGCAUGCAGCUUUGAGGCCCCCAUAGUAUCUUUUAAAAAGCUGUUCUGCAGAAUUGGGAUAAACCUUUAAUGUUGUCAUAAUCUAGAGUUCUUUGUAUUUGGGUGACCCGUUAAUGCUGAUACCAUAUGUCCUCUACAGUAAAAAGUGUGCCAAAGGCAUUAAAUUAAUCUUUCAAACUUAAAAAAAAAAAAAAGGUUUUGUGGUCCUUGUGUUUAGAAUAAUUUUUUUUUAAAAAAGGAUAAAAUGGGCUCAGAGAAGUUGAGUAAUUUCCAGUUAAGGUCACAAUUAAGUGGUAGAUCACUUGCACUAAGUUUUAAGUCCUUUCCACAAUAUCAACAAAUUUUAGACAUGGAAGCAAAUAACACUUUUGGAGAGAGACAACACACCUUAAAGGAGUAAGCUUUUUAGCUUUUUGUGUAUAUUUAGAGAUAAAGCUUAAAAUGCAAAUCUUCCCUUGAGAGUGGGAAAGCAUGAACAAAUGAGUACCAUAGGCUUUUACAUAUUCAAAAAAUUAAAUUCUAGAAUUCUAGAUUUAAGACGUGGCAGUUAAUAGAAAAGUUCUAAUUUAAAAAUAAUUUCUAUAGAAUACACAUCUGUAUAUGCACAUUUAUUUACUUAGAGAACAUAUUUCUUUGGAUGUUUGUGCCAUUUCUUAGUUCUAUGUUGUGUCCAUAGCUGUUUCAUUCCCAUCCCUACACUUCAAGCCGCCAUAUUACUUUUAAAUUACCUUAUGACUCAUUUUCAGUUAUUUAUAAUAAUUAACUAUUUAGCCAAUAAAGCACUUUCAUGAGUAAAAAAUACAGAUUUUUGAAUUUGGUUCUAGGAAUAGUUCAAUUUUCAUAUUUAAUAAAUCUCAUAUUUAUCACAUGUAGCAUGAAAUUGCUUCUGUUGUAAAAGAAUAAUUAUAUAUUCAUUGCAAACAGUAUAAGAAGCAAUAAAUAUACCUCCUUCUAUCAUAUGAAAAUAUGUGACAUUUCCCUAAAAAAUUCCUUGAAUUUAGAAUAUAGUUAAUAAUAUGGUAACAACUUUGUGUGGUGACAGAAGGUAGCUAGACUUAUCAUUGUGAUCACUUCCUAAUGUAAAUAAAUGUUGAAUCACUAUGUUGUACAUCUGAAACUAAUAUAAGAUUACACGAAUAAAGAGAAAAAAAUUCCCUGCAUAUAGAAAUUUUAGACCUUCUCUACUUGUAAAUCUAAGUGUAUCCUUUCCCAGAUGAUAGCGUUUCCCCUAGGGCUUUGGUACAUUUCAUAAAAAGGAAAAUAUAGACAGUGGAAAUAGAGGUAGAAAUAGAAGAGUUCAAGUGUGGUAGCUCAUGUGUAUGCUGGGGGGCAAGUGUAAUGAGGACCUGCUCCCCUGGGUUUCAGUGACUGAGGGUGGCAAAGAUACAA